GGUUGGAUCAUUACUGAUACUUGGUUUUUGAGUUGAUACCGAAAGGAGUCCUCAAUACCAAAUUCACCUCUUGUGCACUAUAUUGUCUUUUGGUAGUUUAUACCUUGGUAUAGGCUGCCAAACUUUAUAAACAAACCAUAUCAACUUGUACUGAAAUUAUAUAAAAAUAUAAACAACUUUUGACAACGGAUCUCUUGGCUCUCGCAACGAUGAAGAACGCAGCGAAAUGCGAUACGUAAUGUGAAUUGCUUUCCGUGAAUCAUCGAAUCUUUGAACGCACAUUGCACUCCUCUGGAGUAUGCCUGUUUGAGAAUCUAUAGUAUUAAUUCCUCUGUAAUUUCAUUCGUGAAUGACCAAAGAGAUAUGAAGUUCCCAUCUUUGGAUGGGCUCUUUUAAAUAGAUUGCUACUAGUAAUACGAAAAUGCUUGACAUUUCUCUAUAUCUAUUAGAAAAGUAUGUGUAUGGAACCGUGGUUUCUCAUAAUGCCUAUUAUUUUAGAGGAGAUUUGGAGUUUUCAUAUGAACAGUUUAGUCCAUACCUAUAAAGGCGCAAGCCUUGAACCAUGGUCUCAAAUCAGGUAGGAAGACCCGCUGAACUUAAGCAUAUCAAUAAGCGGAGGAAAAGAAACUAACAAGGAUUCCCCCAGUAACGGCGAGUGAAGCGGGAAUAGCUCAAAUUUGAAAUCUCCUUCGGGCGAAUUGUAGUUUAGAGAAACGUUUUCUGUUGGACGGUAGGUACAAGUUCUUUGGAACAAGACAUCAUAGAGGGUGAAAAUCCCGUCUUUGACCUAUCGAAAGGCUUUGUGAUACGUUUUCCAAGAGUCGGUUUGUUUGGGAAUGCAGACCAAAAUGGGUGGUAAAUACCAUCUAAAGCUAAAUAUUGGCGAGAGACCGAUAGCGAACAAGUACCGUGAGGGAAAGAUGAAAAGAACUUUGAAAAGAGAGUUAAACAGUACGUGAAAUUGUCAAAAGGGAAACGUUUGAAACCAGUAUUGCUUGUAAGAAUUCAGCUUCUAUUUAUAGGAGUGUAUUUUCUUACGGCGAGUCAACAUCAGUUUGGCUUGGAGCAAAAAGCUAUGGAAAUGUAGCCUUCGGGUGUUAUAGUCCAUGGUCAUACUCUAGGCUAGACUGAGGACUGCAGCGUUUUUGGCUUCGGCACACCAACGCUUAGGAUGUUGACGAAAUGGUUUUAAGCGACCCGUCUUGAAACACGGACCAAGGAGUCUAACAUAUAUGCGAGUAUUUGGGUGGUAAACCCUUAUGCGUAAUGAAAGUAAAAAGGUGGGAUCCUUAAGGGUGCACCAUCGACCGCGCCAGAUUAUUACUAUCUCGGCGUGAGUAUGAGCAUACAUGCUGGGACCCGAAAGAUGGUGAACUAUGCCUGAAUAGGGUGAAGCCAGAGGAAACUCUGGUGGAGGCUCGUAGCGGUUCUGACGUGCAAAUCGAUCGUAAAAUUUGGGUAUAGGGGCGAAAGACUAAUCGAACCAUCUAGUAGCUGGUUCCCUC
RNAcentral lists this unclassified non-coding RNA (1505 nucleotides) under uncultured fungus. Its description in RNAcentral is "sequence contains 18S rRNA gene, ITS1, 5.8S rRNA gene, ITS2, 28S rRNA gene". The stretch from base 564 to 1505 matches the Rfam family "Eukaryotic large subunit ribosomal RNA", at positions 1 to 961 of the family's 3401-position model. The record is from RNAcentral. Lineage: Eukaryota; Fungi.